UCGCCGCGGGUCGUGGGCCGCGACGCCGAUGCUCACCGUGAGUCUGCCGUGCGCGCUGCCGGCGUUCGGCUCGCCGGCGGCGAGC
RNAcentral lists this transfer RNA (85 nucleotides) under Ralstonia solanacearum. RNAcentral describes it as "tRNA-Gly". The record is from RNAcentral. Lineage: Bacteria; Pseudomonadati; Pseudomonadota; Betaproteobacteria; Burkholderiales; Burkholderiaceae.